This 274-nucleotide ribosomal RNA is filed under the name uncultured bacterium. Its description in RNAcentral is "partial 16S ribosomal RNA". It matches the Rfam family "Archaeal small subunit ribosomal RNA", at positions 473 to 747 of the family's 1478-position model. The record is from RNAcentral.
AAACCAGCACCUCAAGUGGUCAGGAUGAUUAUUGGGCCUAAAGCAUCCGUAGCCUGCUCUGUAAGUUUUCGGUUAAAUCUGUAUGCUCAACAUACAGGCUGCCGGGAAUACUGCAGGACUAGGGAGUGGGAGAGGUAGACGGUACUCGGGAGGAAGUGGUAAAAUGCUUUGAUCUCUCGAUGACCACCUGUGGCGAAGGCGGUCUACCAGAACACGUCCGACGGUGAGGGAUGAAAGCUGGGGGAGCAAACCGGAUUAGAAACCCGAGUAGUCC